RNAcentral lists this ribosomal RNA (253 nucleotides) under uncultured bacterium. RNAcentral's name for it is "partial 16S ribosomal RNA". It matches the Rfam family "Bacterial small subunit ribosomal RNA", at positions 524 to 776 of the family's 1533-position model. The record is from RNAcentral.
UACGUAGGUGGCAAGCGUUGUCCGGAAUUAUUGGGCGUAAAGCGCGCGCAGGCGGUCCCUUAAGCCUGAUGUGAAAGCCCACGGCUCAACCGUGGAGGGUCAUUGGAAACUGGGGGACUUGAGUACAGAAGAGGAAAGCGGAAUUCCACGUGUAGCGGUGAAAUGCGUAGAGAUGUGGAGGAACACCAGUGGCGAAGGCGGCUUUCUGGUCUGUAACUGACGCUGAGGAGCGAAAGCGUGGGGAGCAAACAGG